GCCCAGGUGGCGGAAUUGGUAGACGCGCUAGCUUCAGGUGCUAGUGCCGGUAACGGCGUGAAGGUUCGAGUCCUUUCCUGGGCACCA
This 87-nucleotide transfer RNA is filed under the name Sphingosinicella soli. Its description in RNAcentral is "tRNA-Leu". It matches the Rfam family "tRNA". Rfam says of the family: Transfer RNA (tRNA) molecules are approximately 80 nucleotides in length. Their secondary structure includes four short double-helical elements and three loops (D, anti-codon, and T loops). RNAcentral also lists the same sequence under 6 other names. The record is from RNAcentral. Lineage: Bacteria; Pseudomonadati; Pseudomonadota; Alphaproteobacteria; Sphingomonadales; Sphingosinicellaceae.